This is a non-coding RNA of Rattus norvegicus (Norway rat), 7612 nucleotides long. The record is from RefSeq and is a predicted model, not a curated record. Lineage: Eukaryota; Metazoa; Chordata; Mammalia; Rodentia; Muridae.
AUGGCGCCUGAAGCGGAAGUGAGGGGGCGUUGGAAAGUAAAUGUGGCGUAAUCCCUUUUCCACACUGUAAACUCGGGCGCCUGAGGAUUUGUCUGCAGCAGGGAUCCCCAUUCACAUUUAAAGGCGCGUCUCAUUUUGUGGGGUGACGAGUCUUUCUCGGCUGUGCUGCCUCAUUCGCUCACUCGCCCAUCCAUCCAUCCAUCCAUCCAUCCAUCCAUCCAUCCAUCCAUCCAUCCAUCCAUCCAUCCACUCGUUCCCGUAUCUACGCCGGACGCGUCACCUCCCACCUAUGUCCCCCCCCCCCCCACACACACACACACACUCUCCUUCAAGCUCUGAGUGACCGCGCUUUGCCCGCGGCGAGAGCCGACAGGUUUCACUAGCGGGAGACGUGCACUCGGGACUCGCUUCCGGCGCUGAGGGCGGAACUCAGCCUCCGGCCGGGUGCGCGCGCCCGCCGGACCCCGGAAACGCGCUCCGGAGGCUGGGUAGGGGGCGUGGCCGUGGUCAGGCUGGCAUCUUCUGCCCGGCGACUCAGUUACCUAGGUAACAGCGGCAGAGGCGGGCCUGACGUCACGGGCGGCGCGCCUCCCGCACUGCGACACUGGGCUGACUGGACAGCGUGCGUGGCCAGCGGUCGAGCGGGUUGAGCUGCUGCUUCCCUAGCCCUUGCCUGGGCGCAGGGAGCCGCUUCGCGUCGUCCGGCUGUCUCUCCUUUCCCCUGUUACCUUCAAAGUAAUCUUCUGGCUGCCUUAGAACUAAAAUUAACACUCAUAACCUAGAGAAGUGAGUGGCACAUGGAGAUUCAGAGGACAGUGUUAGUUUAGAGGUAGAGAAGCAGGAAAAGCCAAAUAAACGCUACCUAAAUCACAAAGGAAAUGGAGCAAGAGACUCCAGAGAAGGUGGACUCUGCACAGGAGAAGGUCAGAGGCAAGUCCCAGCCAGCAGAUGACUCGGAGGACAGCCGAGAAAAGGCUGGGACAGAAGGGACGGGAGAACUGACCGAAGCCUAUGAGCUGCAGGUAGCUGAAGAAAUGGCAAAAGAGAUCAAGAAGAAAAUAAGAAGGAAGCUAAAGGAGCAGCUGACCUACUUUCCUCCAGACACUCUGCUGCAUGACGACAAGCUGGGCAGUGAAAAAAGGAAGAAGAAGAAGAAGAAGAAAGUCCCAGUGCCAGCUAAGCCUGAGACGAGUCCCUCAGAUGUCUGUGACAGUGCAGCUGAAGGUGAGCAAAAGAAAGAAGGCGCCCCUGAGGGGUCUCACCACAGGGAGGGAGGAUGCUCAACAGAACAGAAUGCAGAUGCCAGUGUACCAGAGAACACAAAGCCCAAACCCAAGAAGAUGAAGAAGAAGCCUAAAGCAGUUUCAGAGGAUAAUGAAGAGACUAAUGGAGAUGGUGUUCAUGAGAUAACAGGCCGAGACAGCCCAGUUCAUCCCAAGUGUUUGCUCGAUGACGACCUCGUCAUGGGAGUCUACAUUCACCGAACCGAUCGGCUUAAAUCUGACUUUAUGAUUUCUCACCCAAUGGUAAAGAUCCAUGUGGUUGAUGAACACACUGGCCAGUACGUCAAGAAAGAUGACAGUGAGCGUCCCGUCUCAUCUUACUAUGAGAAAGACAACGUGGACUAUAUUCUCCCUAUUAUGACGCAGCCGUACGACUUUAAAAAGCUAAAGUCAAGGCUUCCAGAGUGGGAGGAACAAGUUAUUUUUAAUGAAAAUUUUCCCUAUUUGCUUCGAGAGUUUGAUGAGUGCCCAAAAGUCAUUCUGUUCUUUGAGAUUCUUGACUUUUUAAGCAUGGAUGAAAUCAAGAAUAACUCUGAGUUUCAAAACCAAGAAUGUGGCUUUCGGAAAAUUGCCUGGGCAUUUCUUAAGCUCCUGGGAGCCAAUGGAAAUGCAAACAUCAACUCAAAACUUCGUCUGCAGCUCUACUACCCACCUACUAAGCCUCGAUCCCAGCCAAAUGUUGUUGAGGUUUUUGAGUGGUGGUCCAAGUGUCCAAGGAAUCGUUACCCAUCAACACUGUAUGUAACCGUACGAGGGUUGAAAGUCCCGGACUGCAUAAAGCCAUCGUACCGCUCUAUGAUGGCUCUCCAGGAGGAAAGGGGUACACCAGUGUACUGUGAACGCCACCGUGAAACAAGUUCUGUGGACACAGAACCUGGAUUAGAAGAUUCAAAGGAGGAAGUAAAGUGGAAACGUCUGCCGGGCCAGGCCUGUCGUAUCCCAAACAAGCAUCUCUUCUCACUAAAUGCUGGAGAGCGAGGGUGUUUUUGCCUUGAUUUCUCCCACAAUGGAAGGAUAUUAGCAGCAGCCUGUGCCAGCCGAGACGGAUAUCCGAUUAUACUAUACGAAAUUCCUUCUGGACGUUUCAUGAGAGAAUUGUGUGGCCACCUCAAUAUCAUUUAUGAUCUCGACUGGUCAAAAGACGAUCGCUAUCUUGUUACUUCAUCAUCUGAUGGCACUGCCAGGGUUUGGAAGAAUGAAAUCAACAGCACAAGCACGUUCAGAGUCUUACCUCACCCUUCCUUCGUCUACACGGCUAGAUUCCACCCCGCCACACGAGAGCUGGUGGUUACGGGAUGCUAUGACUCUAUGAUUCGGAUAUGGAAGGUGGAUGCGAGGGAAGAUGCCGCCAUCUUAGUGCGCCAGUUGGAUGUCCACAAGAGCUUCGUCAACUCCAUCUGUUUUGAUGAUGAAGGUCACCACAUGUACUCAGGAGACUGCAUCGGCGUCAUCGCUGUGUGGGACACUUAUGUCAAAGUGACUGAUGUGCAGCACUCUGUGCGCCACUGGACAAUAAACAAGGAAAUUAAGGAAACUGAAUUCAGGGGAGUUCCAGUCAGUUACCUGGAGGUGCAUCCCAACGGAAAGCGUUUAUUAAUCCACACCAAAGACAGUACAUUGAGGAUCAUGGAUCUGCGGAUAUUAGCAGCCAGGAAAUUUGUGGGCGCAGCAAAUUACCGGGAGAAGAUCCACAGCACUUUGACACCGUGUGGGACUCUGCUCUUUUCUGGCAGUGAGGAUGGGAUAGUGUACGUUUGGAACCCAGAGACAGGAGAACAAGUGGCAAUGUAUUCUGAGCUGCCGUUCAAGUCAACUAUCCGAGACAUCUCUUACCAUCCAUUUGAGAACAUGGUUGCGUUUUGUGCCUUUGGACAGAGCGAGCCCAUUCUUCUUUACAUUUAUGAUUUCCAGGUGGCCCAGCAGGAGGCUGAAAUGUUGAAGCGCUACAGUGGGACAGUCCCGUUACCUGGGAUCCAUCAGAGUGAGGAUGCUCUAUGCACCUGCCCUAAACUGCCCCAGCAGGGCUCUUUCCAGAUCGAUGAAUUUGUCAACACUGAAAAUAAUUCAUCAAGAAAGAUUCAGCUUGUGAAACAGAGACUCGAAACUGUCACAGAGGUGAUACGAUCCUGUGCUGCAAAAGUAAGUAGCUGUUAUUACCAGGAAGACAACUUUAAAACUAAGUUUCCAUUGUGAUAUAUGAACAAAUUGGAUUGCACUAUUAUCGAGGUGACAGCUCCUGUAAAAGUUGUCUGAUGCGUACUUUUCUUAUUGAGCUUCCAUUUUACCAGAAUUAUGACACUAGCCCCCCAGAAUUGAUUAAGGAGAGUAUUUGUCAAGUAGAUGCAGAGGUUUGAAGAUUCACCAUCCUAGUUACUGGGUCCAGCACCCAGAAGGCAUCCUCCUUUUACAAGCACCCUGUUUACAUGUGACCUUUAAGCAGUUAAGGAGUCACAGUGCAGUGCCUUACAUCUUCCCUCCUCUUCUGACAUCUUACCAUUUAGUAACUAGAACUAUAUGUCCCAUAGUAAAAGAUGAGACAUCAGAAGAAUUAGGAUAGUUGGAAGACAUCUUCAUACAGCGUACUACAGAGGAAGAAGGUAGGCAUCUGCAGCUGUGUGCAGAACCGUGGCGUGAGACAGACCAUGCCAGAGAGUACCAGGCUGACCCCAGCACUGAGCUACUUAGUAUCAGUCAGGACCCAUCACACUUUACCUAAUUAUCAGUCAACCGGAUAUCGAUUAUAGACCAAGGGAAGGAAGAUGGGGAGGGGAAAGAGAACAGGCUGUGUUCUGACUUGGCUGCAGAUGUUCAGGAAGCUUAUUCCUGAUAGCAGUGAGUGUUGUAGUGAUUAAGCUCCAAGAUUACCAAAUCCCCUUAAGUGUGUAAUAUGUAGAAAACUGGUGGCAGCUUUCUGACUAGCGCCGACCUCUCCUUCCCCAACUCUUCCCCUCUGCUUCUCCCUGUCCCAGAUGGGAGCUGUAUCCUUCUCUACUAAUACUGUUGAAAUGUCAGUCGAGUCAGCUUCUCUGUACAUAUUUAACUAGUCAUUAGGGAGGAUGUACUCUGUACAUAUUUAACUAGUCAUUAGGGAGAACGCCCUGUUAACCCGAAGACUCCCCGAGGGUAAUAGGUAGCAUCUUUCAUUGUUGUGUCCCUAGCAUUUAACACAUGCAGAAUGAACCCUCCUCGAAACUAUAAUUACAUGUUUGAAAAUUAAAAUUAGGAAAGAUUAACAUUAUUAAUGCCUUUUUAUACUAUUUUAAAUAGCUUUUCAUCGAGAUGUAAUUCAUACACCAUAAUGCCCUUUUUUAUUUAUUCUUUCAUACAAAGCAUCCAAAUGGCACUUCCCCCUCCGUCCGCUCCUCCCAGCCCCUCACCACAUCAACCUUCCCUCCCCUUCAGAGGCACUCCUCCUCCACUUUCCUUCAGCGUCCGAGUUGUCUCCCAGGGAUAGCAAACCACACAGCAUUGUGAGAUGCAGUAAACAAGGCAGCUCUGUGAGUGCAGGCUCUGCCACAGAAGCCUGAGUGUGGUCCACAGAGCACAUGUAAAGAACCAACUCCAGCAGGUUGGCCCUGACCUCCACAUGCACGCCUACAUACAUCGUACACAAUAAGACAAAAGCAUGUAUAAUAAUAAAUCUCAAAAUUAAGUGCAUAGUUCACUUUUUAACUAUAUUCAGCAUUAUGCAAGUUCUCCACAUAGAAACGCAGUGUCUAUUAACAGCCCUUGCUAAUUUAUGAACAUAGCAUGUGUCCAUACAGACUCAGGUAACUGUUCAUGUGUUGCCCUAGAUUUUUUUGCAUGUGGAAACUUUAUUUAAAUAGAGUCAUAUAAUAUGCUGUCUUUGGAUUUAGGAAUUGGCAUUUUCAUUUUACAGAAUUCUACUAUGUAAUCCAGGAUGCCCUCGCAUCCCCUGAGUUUACCUCAGGGGUUUACCUCAAACUCAUUGUGAUCCUCAUAGCCCUGUGUCCCGUGGGCUUGGAUCGGAGGCAUAAGCAGCACGCCCACCUUAGUGUGUGGCCUGUCAGGACUGUCUCUCUGUCUUCCCACGAUCCCCAUGGAUACUGUGCAUCCUUUGUCAAACGUUCAUCAGCUCACCAGCGUCGGGGUUGUUUCUACCUCUUAACUUCAGGCCAGCACUGUUAUGGCCAUGUGUUGGAGCAAACAGUAUUGUACAGCCUGUGUUUUUAUUUCUCUGGGAUUUGUGUGUGGAUGGGAAAGUUUUUGGAUCACAUGAUAACUAUUUUUAACAUUUUGAGGAAUUCUCAAACUCAUAUCCAAAAUGGAUAAACCAUUUUAGAACCCGACAAAAAAGAUGUGAGGGUUCUAGUCUCUGCUUGUCUUCACCAAGACUUGGAUUCUUUGCAUCUUUUAAAGUUUCUCUCACUCUAGCCAAUGAGGCAUGGUACUGUUGCUUUUGAUUUGCCAUUUCCUCACAGCCAACCAGGUUGAGCAUUUUCAGCAUGUGGUUUUCUGUCUGCUCUGAGGAAAUACUUGUUGAAAUUAUUUGCCAUUUAAUUUUCAUCUCUUUAUUAUUCACUUUUAGUGAUUCUGCAUACACAGACAUAUGUACAUGUGCACAUACAUAGUGUGCUGCUGUCUUUCAUAUGCAAUCUCUACAAAGGUUUUAUGCCUCUUGUAUGCUCUCUCCACUCUCUUGAUGAUGUCUUUUGAAAGAAAAACAGUUGUAACUUUUUGUGGUUUAGUUUAUCUUCUUUGUUUUAUCCAUCUUUUUUGUAGCAUAUACAAAGUAGCAUUAUCUAGCCCUAAGUCUUAUAUAUUUAUUCCUUUGUUUUCUUCUUGAAUUUUUUUAUAGUUUCGGUGAUUUUAGCUAUGUGGUUAUUUUUGAGUUAAUUUUUAAAAUAUAACUUGGUCUGAGAGGUCAGUUGCAUCCAGCUGCUCAGUGGUUGGGCUGGUCCCUUGUUCACUUUGUCACUGCCACUGACCCAAACAGCCAAGUACACUGUGCAGCCAGCCUCUCACAUGCCACAUCCUGAAUAGUAAGGUUUUGGCACGUGCUUGACAAAAAUAGGAGUCUCUUUCUUUUCAAACUCUCAACCUGACGAUUACAUUUUUGAAGGCUCAGAUUAUCUUUUUUUUUUUUUUUUUUUUCUUUUUUCUUUUUUUCAGAGCUGGGGACUGAACCCAGGGCCUUGCGCUCGCUAGGCAAGCGCUCUACCGCUGAGCUAAAUCCCCAGCCCCAGAUUAUCUUAUACAGUUAUUUUAGUGACUACGAAUAUUUUUCAAUAUGCUUGGGAUAGAACAUUCACAGAAGCAUGUUAUAUGGGAAGACACACUGGAUGAAGGAAUUUCAGAUAAUAGCAGAUAGAGAAUAAAAUAAACUUUGAGGGUGGAGAAUGAUAGAGUGGGAAAGGCUGUUGUGUAGAGGAGGAUCAUGGGAGAUUUCCUAGAGAGAAACAUUUCAUAAAGACCCAGAGCGCUAAACUAGGAAUAAGGCUGAUCAAGGAUCAGAAAAGUUACUUUGAUUAACUGGGUAGUGAUGGCCAAAGGCAAGUGAGGUUUUAGGACAGGACUAGAAAGGUGUCACAGAGUAGAUUGUGCAUGCUUUUUAAAGAAUUUUGUCAGCACAAGAGCGAGUCAGUCUGUUGUCUUAGAGGAACAAUCCAGGUUGAAAAGGAGACUUGACUUUUAGCAGAGUAAGGUCUUACAAACACAAUGAUCAGCAGACAGGUCCACUGGUCCUAGAAGAAAUGCUAGGUAACCCCAUACGGACAGCAUGGAGCUGCGAAUAGUAAGCAGAUUGAAUACAGUGUUUGUUGACUUUGCAUACAUUUCUGAAACGGGCCUUUGGAUUUAUCCAGUGUGGUUAAAGAAACGAGCUCUUCAGGGUUUGGGCUUUCAGCAGCUAUGCAGCUACUGCUCCUGCUUUCUCAUGGGAUGAAGGAUUCUGGGCUGGAGGGAGCACAAGGAGGCUAAAGUAAAUGAUGGUUGUGUGAGCCUUUUGUUCAGGGCCAAAGUGCUUUUAAAAGAGCUAUAGAACCGGAUGAAGGCUCCGGUGGAGACAGCGUGGCUGAGGCGGCCCCUGAGAAGGCUCGGCAAGGGGACUGUACAGAAGAGCAUGAAAAGAGGAGUGGUUGACUGGCGCAUGCUGUGCAGAGAAUUGGUAAAGAGAGAAUGGAGUUGACCUUUAUUUUGGGCAAGAUAAUGGCACAAAACUCUUGGGAGUGAGCUGAGAGUGGACCUGGUCAACAAAAAUCUCUCAAUCACUUCACCACCACCAGGCCCUGCAAAGAAGCCAAGGGUGAAACAGUCAUUCGUGCUGACCACCGAUCAGAUCAUACAUCAGUUUGGAGUCCCUCAGACGG